RNAcentral lists this ribosomal RNA (441 nucleotides) under uncultured bacterium. Its description in RNAcentral is "partial 16S ribosomal RNA". It matches the Rfam family "Bacterial small subunit ribosomal RNA", at positions 339 to 795 of the family's 1533-position model. The record is from RNAcentral.
CUACGGGUCGCUGCAGUGAGGAAUAUUGGACAAUGGGCGAAAGCCUGAUCCAGCGACGCCGCGUGGGUGAAGAAGGCCUUCGGGUUGUAAAGCCCUGUCAGAGGGGACGAAGUUCUGACGGUACCCUCAGAGGAAGCACAGGCUAACUCCGUGCCAGCAGCCGCGGUAAUACGGAGUGUGCGAGCGUGGCUCGGAAUCACUGGGCGUAAAGGGCACGUAGGCGGCCUCGUGUGUUGGGUGUGAAAGCCCACGGCUCAACCGUGGAACUGCACUCAAAACUGCGAGGCUAGAGUACGGAAGAGGAAGGCGGAAUUCCCAGUGUAGGGGUGAAAUCCGUAGAUAUUGGGAAGAACACCAGUGGCGAAGGCGGCCUUCUGGGACGAUACUGACGCUGAUGUGCGAAAGCGUGGGGAGCAAACAGGAUUAGAUACCCUCGUAGUC